Molecule: transfer RNA, 61 nt
Filed under: Metacrangonyx goulmimensis
Lineage: Eukaryota; Metazoa; Arthropoda; Malacostraca; Amphipoda; Metacrangonyctidae
Description: transfer RNA Phenylalanine
Source: RNAcentral
AUUUGAGUAGCUCUAAGAGUAUUAUUUUGAAGUAAUAAAGGUAGAUAAGAUCUCUCAAAUA